This 39-nucleotide ribosomal RNA is filed under the name Phaeophyscia hispidula. RNAcentral's name for it is "partial 18S ribosomal RNA". The record is from RNAcentral. Lineage: Eukaryota; Fungi; Ascomycota; Lecanoromycetes; Caliciales; Physciaceae.
GUCUUUCUUCCGUAGGUGGAACCUGCGGAAGGAUCAUUA